AUUGAACGCUGGCGGCAUGCCUUACACAUGCAAGUCGAACGGCAGCACGGGGGCAACCCUGGUGGCGAGUGGCGAACGGGUGAGUAAUAUAUCGGAACGUACCCUGGAGUGGGGGAUAACGUAGCGAAAGUUACGCUAAUACCGCAUACGAUCUAAGGAUGAAAGUGGGGGAUCGCAAGACCUCAUGCUCCUGGAGCGGCCGAUAUCUGAUUAGCUAGUUGGUGGGGUAAAGGCCUACCAAGGCAUCGAUCAGUAGCUGGUCUGAGAGGACGACCAGCCACACUGGGACUGAGACACGGCCCAGACUCCUACGGGAGGCAGCAGUGGGGAAUUUUGGACAAUGGGGGGCAACCCUGAUCCAGCAAUGCCGCGUGAGUGAAGAAGGCCUGGUUGUAAGCUCUUUGUCAGGAGAACGGUGAGGC
This 422-nucleotide ribosomal RNA is filed under the name uncultured bacterium. Its description in RNAcentral is "bacterial SSU rRNA". It matches the Rfam family "Bacterial small subunit ribosomal RNA", at positions 30 to 455 of the family's 1533-position model. The record is from RNAcentral.